RNAcentral lists this ribosomal RNA (497 nucleotides) under uncultured bacterium. RNAcentral's name for it is "partial 16S ribosomal RNA". It matches the Rfam family "Bacterial small subunit ribosomal RNA", at positions 28 to 507 of the family's 1533-position model. The record is from RNAcentral.
GAUGAACGCCGGCGGCGUGCCUAAUACAUGCAAGUCGAGCGAACAGACGAGGAGCUUGCUCCUCUGACGUUAGCGGCGGACGGGUGAGUAACACGUGGAUAACCUACCUAUAAGACUGGGAUAACUUCGGGAAACCGGAGCUAAUACCGGAUAAUAUAUUGAACCGCAUGGUUCAAUAGUGAAAGACGGUUUUGCUGUCACUUAUAGAUGGAUCCGCGCCGCAUUAGCUAGUUGGUAAGGUAACGGCUUACCAAGGCAACGAUGCGUAGCCGACCUGAGAGGGUGAUCGGCCACACUGGAACUGAGACACGGUCCAGACUCCCACGGGAGGCAGCAGUAGGGAAUCUUCCGCAAUGGGCGAAAGCCGGACGGGGCAACGCCGCGUGAGUGAUGAAGGUCUUCGGAUCGUAAAACUCUGUUAUUAGGGAAGAACAAAUGUGUAAGUAACUAUGCACGUCUUGACGGUACCUAAUCAGAAAGCCACGGCUAACUACGUG